Molecule: ribosomal RNA, 253 nt
Filed under: uncultured bacterium
Lineage: Bacteria
Description: partial 16S ribosomal RNA
Rfam family: Bacterial small subunit ribosomal RNA
Source: RNAcentral
UACGUAGGGGGCUAGCGUUGUCCGGAAUUACUGGGCGUAAAGCGCACGUAGGCGGCUCUUUAAGUCGGGGGUGAAAUCCUGGAGCUCAACUCCAGAACUGCCUUCGAUACUGUAGAGCUUGAGUUCGGGAGAGGUGAGUGGAACUGCGAGUGUAGAGGUGAAAUUCGUAGAUAUUCGCAAGAACACCAGUGGCGAAGGCGGCUCACUGGCCCGAUACUGACGCUGAGGUGCGAAAGCGUGGGGAGCAAACAGG